CGUGAGAUGUUGGGUUAAAGUCCCGCAACGAGCGCAACCCCUAUUGUUAGUUGCUACGCAAGAGCACUCUAGCGAGACUGCGUUGACAAAACGGAGGAAGGUGGGGACGACGUCAAAUCAUCAUGCCCCUUAUAUCCUGGGCUACACACGUAAUACAAUGGCGGUCAACAGAGGGAAGCAAAGCCGCGAGGCAGAGCAAACCCCCAAAAGCCGUCCCAGUUCGGAUUGUAGGCUGCAACUCGCCUGCA
This 248-nucleotide ribosomal RNA is filed under the name uncultured bacterium. Its description in RNAcentral is "partial 16S ribosomal RNA". It matches the Rfam family "Bacterial small subunit ribosomal RNA", at positions 1066 to 1320 of the family's 1533-position model. The record is from RNAcentral.